RNAcentral lists this ribosomal RNA (253 nucleotides) under uncultured bacterium. RNAcentral's name for it is "partial 16S ribosomal RNA". It matches the Rfam family "Bacterial small subunit ribosomal RNA", at positions 524 to 776 of the family's 1533-position model. The record is from RNAcentral.
UACGAAGGGGGCUAGCGUUGUUCGGAAUUACUGGGCGUAAAGCGCGCGCACGCGGUUCUUUAAGUCAGGGGUGAAAGCCCAGAGCUCAACUCUGGAAUUGCCUUUGAAACUAGAGGACUUGAGUACGGGAGAGGUGAGUGGAAUUCCGAGUGUAGAGGUGAAAUUCGUAGAUAUUCGGAAGAACACCAGUGGCGAAGGCGGCUCACUGGCCCGUUACUGACGCUCAGGCGCGACAGCGUGGGGAGCAAACAGG